GACGAACGCUGGCGGCGUGCUUAACACAUGCAAGUCGAACGGAAAGGCCCUGCUUUUGUUGGGUGCUCGAGUGGCGAACGGGUGAGUAACACGUGAGUAACCUGCCCUUGACUUUGGGAUAACUUUAGGAAACUGGGGCUAAUACCGGAUAUGAGCUCCUGCUGCGUGGGGGGGGUUGGUAAGAUUCGGCGGUUGGGGAUGGACUCGCGGGUUAUCAGCUUGUUGGUGGGGUAGGGGCUUACCAGGGCUUUGACGGGUAGCCGGCAUGAGAGGGUGACCGGCCACAUUGGGACUGAGAUACGGCCCAGACUCCUACGGGAGGCAGCAGUGGAGAAUAUUGCACAAUGGGCGGAAGCCUGAUGCAGCAACGCCGCGUGCGGGAUGACGGCCUUCGGGUUGUAAACCGCUUUCGCCUGUGACGAAGCGUGAGUGACGGUAAUGGGUAAAGAAGCACCGGCUAACUACGUG
RNAcentral lists this ribosomal RNA (468 nucleotides) under uncultured bacterium. Its description in RNAcentral is "partial 16S ribosomal RNA". It matches the Rfam family "Bacterial small subunit ribosomal RNA", at positions 28 to 507 of the family's 1533-position model. The record is from RNAcentral.